This 443-nucleotide ribosomal RNA is filed under the name uncultured Flavobacterium sp. RNAcentral describes it as "bacterial SSU rRNA". It matches the Rfam family "Bacterial small subunit ribosomal RNA", at positions 1 to 446 of the family's 1533-position model. The record is from RNAcentral. Lineage: Bacteria; Pseudomonadati; Bacteroidota; Flavobacteriia; Flavobacteriales; Flavobacteriaceae.
ACUGGAGUUUGAUCCUGGCUCAGGAUGAACGCUAGCGGCAGGCUUAACACAUGCAAGUCGAGGGGUAUAGUUCUUCGGAGCUAGAGACCGGCGCACGGGUGCGUAACGCGUAUGCAAUCUACCUUUUACAGAGGGAUAGCCCAGAGAAAUUUGGAUUAAUACCUCAUAGUAUGUGAGAAUCGCAUGGUUUUCACAUUAAAGUCACAACGGUAAAAGAUGAGCAUGCGUCCCAUUAGCUUGUUGGUAAGGUAACGGCUUACCAAGGCAACGAUGGGUAGGGGUCCUGAGAGGGAGAUCCCCCACACUGGUACUGAGACACGGACCAGACUCCUACGGGGAGGCAGCAGUGAGGAAUAUUGGACAAUGGGGCGCAAGCCUGAUCCCAGCCCAUGCCGCGUGCAGGAUGACGGUCCUAUGGAUUGUAAACUGCUUUUAGCACAGGG